This 765-nucleotide ribosomal RNA is filed under the name uncultured Streptococcus sp. RNAcentral's name for it is "bacterial SSU rRNA". It matches the Rfam family "Bacterial small subunit ribosomal RNA", at positions 28 to 776 of the family's 1533-position model. Lineage: Bacteria; Bacillati; Bacillota; Bacilli; Lactobacillales; Streptococcaceae. The record is from RNAcentral.
GAUGAACGCGGGCGGCGUGCCUAAUACAUGCAAGUAGAACGCUGAAGCUUGGUGCUUGCACCGAGCGGAUGAGUUGCGAACGGGUGAGUAACGCGUAGGUAACCUGCCUCUUAGCGGGGGAUAACUAUUGGAAACGAUAGCUAAUACCGCAUAAAAGUCGACAUCGCAUGAUGUUGACUUGAAAGGUGCAAAUGCAUCACUAAGAGAUGGACCUGCGUUGUAUUAGCUAGUUGGUGAGGUAACGGCUCACCAAGGCGACGAUACAUAGCCGACCUGAGAGGGUGAUCGGCCACACUGGGACUGAGACACGGCCCAGACUCCUACGGGAGGCAGCAGUAGGGAAUCUUCGGCAAUGGGGGCAACCCUGACCGAGCAACGCCGCGUGAGUGAAGAAGGUUUUCGGAUCGUAAAGCUCUGUUGUAAGAGAAGAACGAGUGUGAGAGUGGAAAGUUCACGCUGUGACGGUAUCUUACCAGAAAGGGACGGCUAACUACGUGCCAGCAGCCGCGGUAAUACGUAGGUCCCGAGCGUUGUCCGGAUUUAUUGGGCGUAAAGCGAGCGCAGGCGGUUUGAUAAGUCUGAAGUUAAAGGCUGUGGCUCAACCAUAGUUCGCUUUGGAAACUGUCAAACUUGAGUGCAGAAGGGGAGAGUGGAAUUCCAUGUGUAGCGGUGAAAUGCGUAGAUAUAUGGAGGAACACCGGUGGCGAAAGCGGCUCUCUGGUCUGUAACUGACGCUGAGGCUCGAAAGCGUGGGGAGCGAACAGG